CUCUGAGACUAAGCCAUGCAUGUCUAAGUAUAAACAAAUUUGUACUGUAAAACUGCGGACGGCUCAUUAAAUCAGUUACAAUCUACUUGAUCGUAUAUUCAAAGAAUUAAUCGGGUAACCCUAGUAAUUCUAGAGCUAAUACGUGCAAAAAGCUCCGACCUCUUUUAACCGAGGGGAAAGAGUGUAUUUAUUAGGUAACUUAAAACCAAUCAGCCCAAAAGGCUGUUUUGUUGAUGAUUCAUAAUAACUUUGCAAAUCGCGGGCCAAUGUCUGCGAUGAUACAAACGAGUUUCUGACCUAUCAACUUUAGAUGGCAGGAUAGGGGCUUGCCAUGGUGACAACGGGUGACGGGGAAUUAGGGUUCGAUUCCGGAGAGGGAGCCUGAGAAACGGCUACCACUUCC
This 403-nucleotide ribosomal RNA is filed under the name uncultured eukaryote. RNAcentral's name for it is "bacterial SSU rRNA". It matches the Rfam family "Eukaryotic small subunit ribosomal RNA", at positions 36 to 417 of the family's 1831-position model. The record is from RNAcentral.